UGGGGAAUUUUGGACAAUGGGCGAAAGCCUGAUCCAGCAACGCCGCGUGCGGGAUGACGGCCUUCGGGUUGUAAACCGCUUUCAGCAGGGACGAAGGUUUUCUGACGGUACCUGCAGAAGAAGCACCGGCUAACUACGUGCCAGCAGCCGCUGUGAUACGUAGGGUGCGAGCGUUGUCCGGAAUUAUUGGGCGUAAAGAGCUUGUAGGCGGUCCGUUGCGUCGGAAGUGAAAACUCAGGGCUUAACCCCUGAGCCUGCUUUCGAUACGGGCGGACUUGAGGGAUGUAGGGGAGAACGGAAUUCCUGGUGGAGCGGUGGAAUGCGCAGAUAUCAGGAGGAACACCAGUGGCGAAGGCGGUUCUCUGGACAUUUCCUGACGCUGAGAAGCGAAAGCGUGGGGAGCAAAACAGGCUUAGAUACCCUGGUAGUCCACGCCGUAAACGGUGGGCACUAGGUGUGGGACCCAUUCCACGGGUUCCGUGCCGUAGCUAACGCAUUAAGUGCCCCGCCUGGGG
Molecule: ribosomal RNA, 515 nt
Filed under: uncultured bacterium
Lineage: Bacteria
Description: partial 16S ribosomal RNA
Rfam family: Bacterial small subunit ribosomal RNA
Source: RNAcentral